AAGACUUAGUGGCGGACGGGUGAGUAAUGCAUGAGCAACCUGCCUUCAGGAGGGGGAUAACAUCGGGAAACCGGUGCUAAUACCGCAUAGAGCAUUUUGCAGGCAUCUGCGAGAUGGGAAAGGAGCAAUCCGCCUGGAGAUGGGCUCAUGUCUGAUUAGAUAGUUGGUAGGGUAACGGCCUACCAAGUCUGCGAUCAGUAGCCGGACUGAGAGGUCGAACGGCCACAUUGGAACUGAGAUACGGUCCAGACUCC
RNAcentral lists this ribosomal RNA (254 nucleotides) under uncultured bacterium. Its description in RNAcentral is "partial 16S ribosomal RNA". It matches the Rfam family "Bacterial small subunit ribosomal RNA", at positions 87 to 339 of the family's 1533-position model. The record is from RNAcentral.